This 253-nucleotide ribosomal RNA is filed under the name uncultured bacterium. RNAcentral's name for it is "partial 16S ribosomal RNA". It matches the Rfam family "Bacterial small subunit ribosomal RNA", at positions 524 to 776 of the family's 1533-position model. The record is from RNAcentral.
GACGAAGGUGGCGACCGUUGUUCGGAAUCACUGGGCAUAAAGAGCACGUAGGCGGCAGGGUAUGUCGGGUGUGAAAUCCCUCGGCCUAACCGAGGAAUUGCGCCCGAAACUACCUUGCUUGAGGAUGGAAGGGGAGCGUGGAAUUCCUGGUGGAGCGGUGAAAUGCGUUGAUAUCAGGAGGAACACCAAUGGCGAAGGCAGCUCGCUGGGACGGUACUGACGCUGAGGCGCGAAAGCGUGGGGAGCAAACAGG